UGACGGGGGUCCGCACAACCGGUGGAGCAUGUGGUUUAAUUAGAUGAUACGCGAGGGACCUUACCUGGGCUCGAAUGGUUAGUGCAACUGUGAGAAAUCACGGGUUCCUUCGGGACGCUAAUCAAGGUGCUGCAUGGUUGUCGUCAGCUCGUGCCAUGAGGUGUUGGGUUAAGUCCCGCAACGAGCGCAACCCCUGGGUUUAGUUACCAGCACGUAAUGGUGGGGACUCUAGACCGACUGCCGGCGUAAGCCGCGAGGAAGGUGGGGAUGACGUCAAAUCAUCAUGGCCUUUAUGUCCAGGGCUACACACGUGCUACAAUGGUCAGUACAGAGGGUAGCGAAGCCGCGAGGUGGAGCCAAUCUUUAAAAGCUGAUCGUAGUUCGGAUUGGAGUCUGCAACUCGACUCCAUGAAGUUGGAAUCGCUAGUAAUCGCGCAUCAGCCAUGGCGCGGUGAUACGUUCCCGGACAUUGUACACACCGCCCAUCAAGCCAUGGGAGCUGAGGGUAC
This 509-nucleotide ribosomal RNA is filed under the name uncultured organism. RNAcentral's name for it is "bacterial SSU rRNA". It matches the Rfam family "Bacterial small subunit ribosomal RNA", at positions 911 to 1420 of the family's 1533-position model. The record is from RNAcentral.